UACGGAGGGAGCUAGCGUUGUUCGGAUUUACUGGGCGUAAAGGGCGCGUAGGCGGUCAGCACAAGUCAGUUGUGAAAUCUCCGAGCUUAACUCGGAAAGGUCAACUGAUACUGUGCGACUAGAGUGCGGAAGGGGCAACUGGAAUUCUUGGUGUAGCGGUGAAAUGCGUAGAUAUCAAGAGGAACACCGGUGGCGAAGGCGGAUCUCUGGGCCUUACCUGACGCUGAGGCGCGAAAGCUAGGGGAGCGAACAGG
RNAcentral lists this ribosomal RNA (254 nucleotides) under uncultured bacterium. RNAcentral's name for it is "partial 16S ribosomal RNA". It matches the Rfam family "Bacterial small subunit ribosomal RNA", at positions 524 to 776 of the family's 1533-position model. The record is from RNAcentral.